GUUGUUAUUGCUGUUGCUGUUGAUAAACACUCAUUUAUUCCCUCUGCCAGAACGUGCGUGUUAAGUUGACUCUUCCUCAAUAGUUCCAAUUCCAUCAGAAAAUUACCCUCUCGCAAUGGCGCAAAUUUUGUUCGAAGUGACUCGCAACGCGGCCGCCACAAAGUUGGAGGAAACCGUCGACGGAACCACCAUCGGAGAUCUGAUCAAAUCGUUGAAAGCGGCCAAAGAGUCGUCGAACGCGACGCUCACCCAGCUGCUGGAGGACGAGAAAAACGCCCCCCAAAAAGAAACCGCCCCAAAGGAUGCCGAAGGUGACGAAGAGGACGAUGACGACUAGAACCGGAAUCGGAUAGUCGGAAACUAGUGACAUUCUCAUUCCUUGAAUCAUGUCUCAUGCCAAGAAACCUUGUUAACAAUACAGCUAUUUAUCGUAAAUUAUUGAAUUUGAAUAAUUUAUAUGUUUAUAUGCAUCCGUUUUCGAAAUAAACCAGCAUUUUUUUCAAAUUCAAAGCAA
Molecule: long non-coding RNA, 514 nt
Organism: Culex quinquefasciatus (southern house mosquito)
Lineage: Eukaryota; Metazoa; Arthropoda; Insecta; Diptera; Culicidae
Exons: 2
Source: RefSeq, a predicted model, not a curated record